CCUACGGGAGGCAGCAGUGAGGAAUAUUGGUCAAUGGACGAGAGUCUGAACCAGCCAAGUAGCGUGAAGGAUGACUGCCCUAUGGGUUGUAAACUUCUUUUAUAUGGGAAUAAAAUGUUCCACGUGUGGGAUUUUGUAUGUACCAUAUGAAUAAGGAUCGGCUAACUCCGUGCCAGCAGCCGCGGUAAUACGGAGGAUCCGAGCGUUAUCCGGAUUGAUUGGGUUUAAAGGGAGCGUAGGUGGAUGGUUAAGUCAGUUGUGAAAGUUUGCGGCUCAACCGUAAAAUUGCAGUUGAAACUGGCAGUCUUGAGUACAGUAGAGGUGGGCGGAAUUCGUGGUGUAGCGGUGAAAUGCUUAGAUAUCACGAAGAACUCCGAUUGCGAAGGCAGCUCACUGGACUGCAACUGACACUGAGGCUCGAAAGUGUGGGUAUCAAACAGGAUUAGAUACCCCAGUAGUC
This 460-nucleotide ribosomal RNA is filed under the name uncultured bacterium. RNAcentral's name for it is "partial 16S ribosomal RNA". It matches the Rfam family "Bacterial small subunit ribosomal RNA", at positions 338 to 795 of the family's 1533-position model. The record is from RNAcentral.